RNAcentral lists this transfer RNA (74 nucleotides) under Zingiber officinale. RNAcentral's name for it is "tRNA-Val". Lineage: Eukaryota; Viridiplantae; Streptophyta; Magnoliopsida; Zingiberales; Zingiberaceae. The record is from RNAcentral.
GGUGUUGUGGUGUAGUUGGUUAUCACAUCAGUCUAACACACUAAAGGACUUUGGUUCAAUUUUGGGCGACGCUA